CAUCGCGCGGGGCCCCCCGGGCCACAGCCCGACCCCAAGCCCCUCCCGGACCCAGAGCUAAUUUGGAGGUGGGACAUUCCCCGGGGCUGAGGUCAGGCUGGCCUGGGGACAGGUCUCCGUCACCGGGACCCAAGGGCGUGGCGUGGGUGGAGCCCGAGGUCGCGGCUGGCCCCGCCUCCUCUCCGCCCAGGCUGGCUCCGGGGACCUGGCCACGGGGGAGGGGGACGCAUUUCGGGUAGAGGGGACAGCGGUGGGAGCUGUCCCAGCCCCCAGCCCUGUACCCCAGCCUCUCCAGCCCGGUGUCCCCGCCUCUGCCCGCAGCCUCGCUAGCCCCCACCCUCCGGCCUCCCUCCCGGCCUCCGCAGCCCGGGCCUCUGAACCCGCCCCGUCUAAAUCGGGCCCCGGCGCUAAGCCGUCGCUGGCCUCCGGAAUGCGAGGUCGCCGGCGCCAGGUGAGCGGCCCCGCCCUGCUCCUGGCCGCAGCCUCGCGGCCGUUUUUAGCCCGCUAAGCCCGGGCCUUGGCUGCUCUGGGAUUCCUGGUGCCGGGCCUGGGGGGCAGCGUCCGCAGCUGUGCCCGGGGGCGGGGGCCGGCUCCAUUUCUGUUUCCGCCCAGCGGGCCGCAGGCUGCCCUCGCUGGGUCCUCCUGUAGGUGGCGGGGCACCCUGACCUGGUCAGCGACGGCCCUGAGCGAGCUCCACUCUUCCUCCCAAGUCCGCUUUGCGGACCAGCCUCUCUCCCUCCAGGUCACCAAGGGAGGUGCCACUUUACGCUGGAGAUAACGCAAUCCCGCUCCUACUACAAGGCAGCCCUGUGGCCCGCACCAGCCAGUAAGCCCCAGAGGGCCCCCACCCCCCAGCAAAUCAGGGGCUCUGUGCCCCAAGGACACCCCAAGUCCAUGCACAUCUGACCCACUCGACCAUCUCCCAGGGUCCAGCCUGCCCCCUCCUGGGCUCCCAACCCCCAGCUCCCAGGACCGCCCUCUCUCCCAGGUACAGUCCCGCCCAGCUGCACACUCCCAAUCCUCUCCUGGUGCUGAGAGGCAGAGACCCAGGCAGAACUUGGUCCACACAGUGGAGUAGUACGCAGCCAUGAAAAGGAGUGACGAUCUGACACCGGCCACAGGGUGGACAGACCCUGAGGACCUGGAGGUGCUCAGUGAGAGAAUCACACGCAAAGGUCCCCACAGGGUGUGAAUCUGUCCAUUCAGAAGGUUCACAACAGGAAACUCAAAGAGACAGGACAUGGGUCAGGGUCGCCAGGGGCCGGGCAGGAGAGGCGGGAGUGGGUGCUACCUAAGGUACCAGGUGGAGGGAACGUUCUGGGACUUGACAGAGGUGACAGUUGUGCCACAUGGUGAGUGUGCUAGACACCACCCUGCCACACACUUCAGAGCCUGAUUUAGGCCUCUUUGUUCCUUUAGGGACUGACUGCUCAGCAUCCCCACACGGUGGCCACACCUGUCAUUCUGCAGCUUGGGAGGCUGAGGCAGGAGGAUUGCAGUGGAGGCCAGCCUCAGCAAUUUGGCCAGACCCUCAGCAACUUAGCAAGAGCUUGUCUCAAAAUAAAAAGUAAAAAGGGGCCUGCGGACGGGGCCCAGUUAGAGCACCCUGGGGUCCAUCCCUGGCACCAACGCGGCCACCACGUCACCUGUUUCAUAGGUGACCCACACAGCUCCUUCCCCGCUGGUGUGUCCCAUCUAUGAAGCUCCCCACCCUCCCUGACCUCCCGAGGCGCCUCCUCCUUGCCUCUGAGGCUGUGGACACUCCCUGGGCAGGGCCGUCCACUCUGCCUCUGUCUCCCACUGGCAGGUCCUGGGGUGUUGGAAAGGUCUUGGACCCGGCCCAGUGGGGGCCACCUG
Molecule: long non-coding RNA, 1857 nt
Filed under: Marmota monax (woodchuck)
Lineage: Eukaryota; Metazoa; Chordata; Mammalia; Rodentia; Sciuridae
Source: RNAcentral